RNAcentral lists this ribosomal RNA (477 nucleotides) under uncultured Phaeobacter sp. RNAcentral describes it as "bacterial SSU rRNA". It matches the Rfam family "Bacterial small subunit ribosomal RNA", at positions 382 to 877 of the family's 1533-position model. Lineage: Bacteria; Pseudomonadati; Pseudomonadota; Alphaproteobacteria; Rhodobacterales; Roseobacteraceae. The record is from RNAcentral.
CCUGAUCUAGCCAUGCCGCGUGAGUGAUGAAGGCCUUAGGGUCGUAAAGCUCUUUCGCCUGUGAUGAUAAUGACAGUAGCAGGUAAAGAAACCCCGGCUAACUCCGUGCCAGCAGCCGCGGUAAUACGGAGGGGGUUAGCGUUGUUCGGAAUUACUGGGCGUAAAGCGCGCGUAGGCGGAUUAGAAAGUUGGGGGUGAAAUCCCGGGGCUCAACCUCGGAACUGCCUCCAAAACUGCUAGUCUAGAGUUCGAGAGAGGUGAGUGGAAUUCCGAGUGUAGAGGUGAAAUUCGUAGAUAUUCGGAGGAACACCAGUGGCGAAGGCGGCUCACUGGCUCGAUACUGACGCUGAGGUGCGAAAGUGUGGGGAGCAAACAGGAUUAGAUACCCUGGUAGUCCACACCGUAAACGAUGAAUGCCAGUCGUCGGGUAGUAUACUAUUCGGUGACACACCUAACGGAUUAAGCAUUCCGCCUGGG